RNAcentral lists this ribosomal RNA (496 nucleotides) under uncultured bacterium. RNAcentral's name for it is "bacterial SSU rRNA". It matches the Rfam family "Bacterial small subunit ribosomal RNA", at positions 28 to 515 of the family's 1533-position model. The record is from RNAcentral.
GACGAACGCUGGCGGCGUGGAUUAGGCAUGCAAGUCGAACGGUAGGAUACCUUCGGGUAUCUGAGAGUGGCGAACGGGUGAGUAACACGUAGGUGAUCUACCCUCAAGAUUGGGACAACCCAGGGAAACUUGGGCUAAUACCGGAUGAAAGCAGCAGUGAUGUUGUUUGAAAGGUGGCGUAAGCUGCCGUUUGGGGAUGAGCCUGCGCUCUAUUAGUUAGUUGGCGGGGUAAAGGCCCACCAAGGCGAUGAUAGAUAGGCGGCCUUAACGGGUGGUCGCCCACACUGGGAUUGAGAUACGGCCCAGACUCCUACGGGAGGCAGCAGUCGAGAAUAGUCUACAAUGGCCGAAAGGCUGAUAGUGCGACGCCGCGUGAACGAAGAAGCCCUUCGGGGUGUAAAGUUCUUUUAUAUGUGAGCAGUGCUUUCUAUGUGAACAGCAUGGGGAGAGAGAUAUUAGCAUAUGAAUAAGCAACGGCUAACUCCGUGCCAGCACG